This 666-nucleotide ribosomal RNA is filed under the name Rhizobium sp. RNAcentral describes it as "bacterial SSU rRNA". It matches the Rfam family "Bacterial small subunit ribosomal RNA", at positions 80 to 781 of the family's 1533-position model. The record is from RNAcentral. Lineage: Bacteria; Pseudomonadati; Pseudomonadota; Alphaproteobacteria; Hyphomicrobiales; Rhizobiaceae.
UCUUGAUGGAGGGGAGUGGCAGACGGGUGAGUAACGCGUGGGAAUCUACCGUACCCUACGGAAUAGCUCUGGGAAACUGGAAGUAAUACCGUAUACGCCCGCAAGGGGAAAGAUUUAUCGGGGUAUGAUGAGCCCGCGUUGGAUUAGCUAGUUGGUGGGGUAAAGGCCUACCAAGGCGACGAUCCAUAGCUGGUCUGARAGGAUGAUCAGCCACAUUGGGACUGAGACACGGCCCAAACUCCUACGGGAGGCAGCAGUGGGGAAUAUUGGACAAUGGGCGCAAGCCUGAUCCAGCCAUGCCGCGUGAGUGAUGAAGGUCUUAGGAUUGUAAAGCUCUUUCACCGGAGAAGAUAAUGACGGUAUCCGGAGAAGAAGCCCCGGCUAACUUCGUGCCAGCAGCCGCGGUAAUACRAAGGGGGCUAGCGUUGUUCGGAAUUACUGGGCGUAAAGCGCACGUAGGCGGGUAUUUAAGUCAGGGGUGAAAUCCCAGAGCUCAACUCUGGAACUGCCUUUGAUACUGGGUAUCUUGAGUAUGGAAGAGGUAAGUGGAAUUGCGAGUGUAGAGGUGAAAUUCUUAGAUAUUCGCAGGAACACCAGUGGCGAAAGCGGCUUACUGGUCCAUUACUGACGCUGAGGUGCGAAAGCGUGGGGAGCAAACACGAUUAC